GCAAGGGGUGCAGCAGUUGAGUGCAUGGGCCCACAGGUUGGGUGGGCUCAAGCUGCUGGGACAAGGAGGAACAGCAAAAAGCCACCAACAAGGAUGCAUGCCCCCACCCCAGCCACCCACCUUCUGGAGACCCCUAAGUGGAUUUUCACACAGAAAGGAUGUUGGCAUCCCCAGUGAUCCAUGAGACAUGGCUGGGUCCACCCUUCA
This is an unclassified non-coding RNA of Ictidomys tridecemlineatus (thirteen-lined ground squirrel), 207 nucleotides long. The record is from Ensembl. Lineage: Eukaryota; Metazoa; Chordata; Mammalia; Rodentia; Sciuridae.